CAAACGACUCUYGGCAACGGAUAUCUCGGCUCUCGCAUCGAUGAAGAACGUAGCGAAAUGCGAUACUUGGUGUGAAUUGCAGAAUCCCGUGAACCAUCGAGUUUUUGAACGCAAGUUGCGCCCGAAGCCMCUAGGCCGAGGGCMCGCCUGCCUGGGCGUCACGCA
Molecule: ribosomal RNA, 165 nt
Filed under: Hydrocotyle vulgaris
Lineage: Eukaryota; Viridiplantae; Streptophyta; Magnoliopsida; Apiales; Araliaceae
Description: 5.8S ribosomal RNA
Rfam family: 5.8S ribosomal RNA
About the family: 5.8S ribosomal RNA (5.8S rRNA) is a component of the large subunit of the eukaryotic ribosome. It is transcribed by RNA polymerase I as part of the 45S precursor that also contains 18S and 28S rRNA.
Source: RNAcentral